This 23-nucleotide small nuclear RNA is filed under the name Arabidopsis thaliana (thale cress). Its description in RNAcentral is "snRNA_02922". The record is from RNAcentral. Lineage: Eukaryota; Viridiplantae; Streptophyta; Magnoliopsida; Brassicales; Brassicaceae.
AAUCUUCGUACUUUUAGGUAAAA